AUUGAACGCUGGCGGCAUGCCUUACACAUGCAAGUCGAACGGCAGCACGGGUGCUUGCACCUGGUGGCGAGUGGCGAACGGGUGAGUAAUACAUCGGAACGUACCUUAUCGUGGGGGAUAACGCAGCGAAAGCUGUGCUAAUACCGCAUACGCCCUGAGGGGGAAAGCGGGGGAUCGAAAGGCCUCGCGCGAUUAGAGCGGCCGAUGCCUGAUUAGCUUGUUGGUGGGGUAAAAGCCCACCAAGGCGACGAUCAGUAGCUGGUCUGAGAGGACGGUCAGCCACACGGGGACUGAGACGCGGCCCAGACUCCUACGGGAGGCAGCAGUGGGGAAUUUUGGACAAUGGGGGCAACCCUGAUCCAGCAAUGCCGCGUGAGUGAAGAAGGCCUUCGGGUUGUAAAGCUCUUUUGUCAGGGAAGAAACACCGGCUCUAACACAGUCCGGGAAUGACGGUACCUGAAGAAUAAGCACCGGCUAACUACGUGCCAGCCGCCGCCGUAA
RNAcentral lists this ribosomal RNA (501 nucleotides) under uncultured bacterium. Its description in RNAcentral is "partial 16S ribosomal RNA". It matches the Rfam family "Bacterial small subunit ribosomal RNA", at positions 29 to 523 of the family's 1533-position model. The record is from RNAcentral.